AGCUUCGGCCAUCCGGCGAGGGAUGGGCCCGCGGUGCAUUAGCUAGUUGGUGGGGUAACGGCCCACCAAGGCGACGAUGCAUAACUGGUCUGAGAGGAUGAUCAGCCACACUGGGACUGAGACACGGCCCAGACUCCUACGGGAGGCAGCAGCCAGGAAUCUUGGGCAAUGGGCGCAAGCCUGACCCAGCAACACCGUGUGGGCGAUGAAGGCCUUCGGGUCGUAAAGCCCUGUUGAUAGGGACGAAGGGCGAAGGGUUAAUAGCCC
RNAcentral lists this ribosomal RNA (267 nucleotides) under uncultured Rubrobacter sp. RNAcentral's name for it is "partial 16S ribosomal RNA". It matches the Rfam family "Bacterial small subunit ribosomal RNA", at positions 202 to 468 of the family's 1533-position model. Lineage: Bacteria; Bacillati; Actinomycetota; Rubrobacteria; Rubrobacterales; Rubrobacteraceae. The record is from RNAcentral.